UACGAAGGGGGCUAGCGUUGUUCGGAUUUACUGGGCGUAAAGCGCACGUAGGCGGAUCGUUAAGUCGGGGGUGAAAUCCUGGAGCUCAACUCCAGAACUGCCUUCGAUACUGGCGAUCUUGAGUCCGGAAGAGGAGAGUGGAAUUCCUGGUGUAGCGGUGAAAUGCGCAGAUAUCAGGAAGAACACCCGUGGCUAAGGCGGCUCUCUAGUACGGUACUGACGCUGAGACGCGAAAGCGUGGGGAGCGAACAGG
This 253-nucleotide ribosomal RNA is filed under the name uncultured bacterium. RNAcentral describes it as "partial 16S ribosomal RNA". It matches the Rfam family "Bacterial small subunit ribosomal RNA", at positions 524 to 776 of the family's 1533-position model. The record is from RNAcentral.